Molecule: ribosomal RNA, 442 nt
Filed under: uncultured bacterium
Lineage: Bacteria
Description: partial 16S ribosomal RNA
Rfam family: Bacterial small subunit ribosomal RNA
Source: RNAcentral
CCUACGGGAGGCAGCAGUAGGGAAUCUUUCACAAUGGGCGAAAGCCUGAUGGAGCAACGCCGCGUGCAGGAUGAAGGCCUUCGGGUUGUAAACUGCUUGUAUAAGCGAGAAAUAUGAUGGUAACUUAUGAAUAAGGAUCGGCUAACUACGUGCCAGCAGCCGCGGUCAUACGUAGGAUCCGAGCAUUAUCCGGGGUGACUGGGUGUAAAGAGUUGCGUAGGUGGCAUAAUAAGUAGCUAGUGAAAUCUGGUGGCUCAACCAUUCAGACUAUUAGCUAAACUGUUAAGCUCGAGACCGUUAGGGGUAACUGGAAUUUCUAGUGUAGGAGUGAAAUCCGUAGAUAUUAGAAGGAACACCAAUAGCGUAGGCAGGUUGCUGGGACGGUUCUGACACUAAGGCACGAAAGCGUAGGGAGCAAACGGGAUUAGAUACCCUUGUAGUC